This 484-nucleotide ribosomal RNA is filed under the name uncultured bacterium. RNAcentral's name for it is "partial 16S ribosomal RNA". It matches the Rfam family "Bacterial small subunit ribosomal RNA", at positions 30 to 507 of the family's 1533-position model. The record is from RNAcentral.
AUUGAACGCUGGCGGCAGGCCUAACACAUGCAAGUCGAGCGGAUGAAGGGAGCUUGCUCCUGGAUUCAGCGGCGGACGGGUGAGUAAUGCCUAGGAAUCUGCCUGGUAGUGGGGGAUAACGUCCGGAAACGGGCGCUAAUACCGCAUACGUCCUGAGGGAGAAAGUGGGGGAUCUUCGGACCUCACGCUAUCAGAUGAGCCUAGGUCGGAUUAGCUAGUUGGUGGGGUAAAGGCCUACCAAGGCGACGAUCCAUAACUGGUCUGAGAGGAUGGUCAGUCACACUGGAACUGAGACACGGUCCAGACUCCUACGGGAGGCAGCAGUGGGGAAUAUUGGACAAUGGGCGAAAGCCUGAUCCAGCCAUGCCGCGUGUGUGAAGAAGGUCUUCGGAUUGUAAAGCACUUUAAGUUGGGAGGAAGGGCAGUAAGUUAAUACCUUGCUGUUUUGACGUUACCAACAGAAUAAGCACCGGCUAACUUCGUG